This 469-nucleotide ribosomal RNA is filed under the name uncultured bacterium. RNAcentral describes it as "partial 16S ribosomal RNA". It matches the Rfam family "Bacterial small subunit ribosomal RNA", at positions 28 to 507 of the family's 1533-position model. The record is from RNAcentral.
GACGAACGCUGGCGGCGUGCUUAACACAUGCAAGUCGAACGGAAAGGCCCUGCUUGCAGGGUGCUCGAGUGGCGAACGGGUGAGUAACACGUGGGUGAUCUGCCCCUUACUUUGGGAUAAGCCUGGGAAACUGGGUCUAAUACUGGAUAGGACCAUGCUGUAGGUGGUGUGGUGGAAAGAUUAGUUUCGGUAAGGGAUGAGCUCGCGGCCUAUCAGCUUGUUGGUGGGGUAAUGGCCUACCAAGGCGUCGACGGGUAGCCGGCCUGAGAGGGUGGACGGCCACAUUGGGACUGAGAUACGGCCCAGACUCCUACGGGAGGCAGCAGUGGGGAAUAUUGAACAAUGGGCGCAAGCCUGAUGCAGCGACGCCGCGUGGGGGAUGACGGCCUUCGGGUUGUAAACUCCUUUCAGCCAUGACGAAGCCCUUGUGGUGACGGUAGUGGUAGAAGAAGCACCGGCUAACUACGUG